GCCGCGGAUCUCCAUCUGGAUGUUAGACUCCGGCACCCCGACGGCGCCGGUGACGAGGGAGACGUCGGCGGGGUCCAGGCCGGCGGCGACGCCGACGGUGUGGACCCAUUCGCCGAGCAUCUCGAGCGCGUUGGCCUUGUGACCGUACCUGCGCCGGGAAGGAUUGAUUUGGGAAGGAUUUGGUUAUUAGGGGGGGGAUUCUGUUGGGAGGAUGGGGACGACGAGGACGAGGACGAGGACGAGGAGGCGGACGCUCCGGGGGAGGGCGACGGUUCGCGCGACGUCGCGGGGCGAGGGUUCGUUCGGGUCUCACCUGGCGUCGAUGGACCAGAUCGCGCGCAAUCCCGGCGCGCCCGGGACGGAUUCCCCGCCGCUCGCAGCGGUGACGACGCGCGUGAAUCUCGACGGAAGCCUCCGAGGUGGUGGGUCCGCGGGGCGUGACGCGCCGCGGCGCGCGAGGAGACGAGCGCGCGCCGGUGGAGCCGCCGCGACGGGUGAGGCGCUCAUGGCGACGAUGAUUCGAACGAAACCGGGCGGUGCGGCGGGCGCGAGCGGGCGCGGGGCGCUCGUCGGAAUGAGCGCGGAGUCGACAACGCGUUUUCCGCGGGAGAGUCCGAGGGGCGCCUUGCUCGGACCUAAAUUUGGGCGGAAUUCA
RNAcentral lists this long non-coding RNA (655 nucleotides) under Micromonas commoda. Its description in RNAcentral is "long non-coding RNA (MCOM_LNC000401)". Lineage: Eukaryota; Viridiplantae; Chlorophyta; Mamiellophyceae; Mamiellales; Mamiellaceae. The record is from RNAcentral.